AUGUUACUAUGGUGUUCACAGAUGUUCAAUCAUCCCACUCCAGUGAAGCUCAAAUGGGAAAAACUGGUUAAGCUGUAUAUAUGCCUUUCAUUUAAAUUUCAUCCUCAAAGUAUGACCUUCAGAAUGUCACAUCUUGGGGAGUGAGGGUAAAUUGCUCUUCAUAGUGAAGGCAGAAUUCCUUUCUGUUAUUUAUGUGCUUGAAAUGCAAACUUCCUGUGAUCUAAAUCCAGAGAGAAGGAUUUAAUUUUCAAAAGUUAAAAAGUUCUCUGGUCAAAUGUUAAACCUUGUGCUUUAGAAAUCUGGGCAAACAUUGCUACCAUUUUCUUUAUUGCUUUAUUCUUUUCUUUUGUGUGUGUGUCAUUAUUAUGAACUUGAGAAAGUUAGUGAUGUGGCAUUUUUUCCCCAAAAGUGAAAAAAACACAAUCUCUUGUUUUACAUGAAUUUGUUGGGCUGAUUUCUCUCCUACUAACAUUCACGUAUUCUGGGAUUGAGCAUUGGCUACCAUAAGCUCUUUACAGGGUCAAUACUGACAGGCAGAGAUUUAGCAUUCUAACUAAAAAAAUAUAGAGAGAGAAGUAAAAAAAAAACUAGAACUCAUUCAUAUAAAAAUUCAGAAUAUUAGAACCUUUAGUUUCAUGUUUAGGAAUUUUUAUGAAUAAUUUUUAUUUCAAUAUCUCCAUAUGGUAAGCAUUUCUUGAGUCAUUUUUUGCACCUGAUAAAAGAGAAAGGAAUAAAGCAACAAUAGUUGUCUCGGCUUUUGUAUUUCCAAAGUCAUUCCUUAGCUUUUCAGUACAAUUAGAAUUGUAAAUCAUUGCACUAAUUAUUAAUAAUUUCUUAACUCUUAAGAUGCACACAAAAUGAGGAAUAUGAGAUUAAUACUCUCAACAUGGAGAUUUUAAAAAAUAAAAUCACUCUUUAUCACUACCCACUUAUAUAGUUAUAGAUAGUGUAUAGUUAAUCACUGAUUCAUUAAUUGGAAAGUAUUUGUAGUAAGAAAAUAAUAUCUAGUUGUACAUAUUGGCAUGAGGUAGUAAAAGUGGUAAUAAAGAAAUAUAGAUAUUAAUUAUUUACUUUAUUUACCUAUAAAAAUAUACUUCUGUGGAAUUUACCAUAAGCUCUUUACAGGGUCAAUACUGACAGGCAGAGAUUUAGCAUUCUAACUAAAAAAUAUAGAGAGAGAAGUAAAAAAACUAGAACUCAUUCAUAUAAAAAUUCAGAAUAUUAGAACCUUUAGUUUCAUGUUUAGGAAUUUUUAUGAAUAAUUUUUAUUUCAAUAUCUCCAUAUGGUAAGCAUUUCUUGAGUCAUUUUUUGCACCUGAUAAAAGAGAAAGGAAUAAAGCAACAAUAGUUGUCUCGGCUUUUGUAUUUCCAAAGUCAUUCCUUAGCUUUUCAGUACAAUUAGAAUUGUAAAUCAUUGCACUAAUUAUUAAUAAUUUCUUAACUCUUAAGAUGCACACAAAAUGAGGAAUAUGAGAUUAAUACUCUCAACAUGGAGAUUUUAAAAAAUAAAAUCACUCUUUAUCACUACCCACUUAUAUAGUUAUAGAUAGUGUAUAGUUAAUCACUGAUUCAUUAAUUGGAAAGUAUUUGUAGUAAGAAAAAUAAUAUCUAGUUGUACAUAUUGGCAUGAGGUAGUAAAAGUGGUAAUAAAGAAAUAUAGAUAUUAAUUAUUUACUUUAUUUACCUAUAAAAAUAUACUUCUGUGGAAUUUCCCAUCAGAUUUUAAUGACACAUCUAGAUAUCAUGAAAAUAAAGCUGUAGCAGAUACCUGAAGGCCUUUGGAGGAGAGAGAAAGAACAUUUCAAAAGCAGUUUGGAUGUUAAGUUGCAAAUUCUUUAUGGCAGAUGGUCUUGUUUCUCUUUUUGUUUUAUCAAAUGUGAGUAUUCGUGUCUUAAAAUUAAAAGCAAUACACCAAGUUGUUUUUUUCAUUUAAAUUUAGUUUUUCCUUAUUGUUCUUGGUCCUCAAAUAAUUAUACGUUUGCAUUGUUUAAAACUAUAUAAUGAGAUACAUUAAAUCUAAAUUGAGUAGACACAGGGACAUUUCUUAUGUUACAGAGAAGUCUUUUGGAUGUAUUUGUCUAUUCCAAAUUAUUAUUUUGAUACUUAGGAUGUGAGUAUAAAUUCAAGUGCUAGUAUUUAUUAUAUGCUUGCAGAAAUCCAAGAUACUGAAUAUCUAUGUUACUACCUGUCUUUUCCCACUCAGUAUGUAAAACUAGACAUUAUCUUUCUCACAAAUAAUAUUUGAUUCAUUUGUCAGUGAUUAACUAUAUACCAAAGGGAUAUUAAUAGAGAAAUUUAAAACUUCUUUGU
Bos grunniens (domestic yak) is the source of this 2310-nucleotide long non-coding RNA. Lineage: Eukaryota; Metazoa; Chordata; Mammalia; Artiodactyla; Bovidae. The record is from Ensembl.